GCCUCCGUAGCUCAAUGGAAGAGCAGUCGCGUCCUAAGCGAAGGGUUGGGGGUUCGAGUCCCUCCGGGGGCAC
RNAcentral lists this transfer RNA (73 nucleotides) under Pseudoclavibacter triregionum. RNAcentral describes it as "Pseudoclavibacter sp. 125703-2019 tRNA-Arg(cct)". It matches the Rfam family "tRNA". From Rfam's summary of the family: Transfer RNA (tRNA) molecules are approximately 80 nucleotides in length. Their secondary structure includes four short double-helical elements and three loops (D, anti-codon, and T loops). Lineage: Bacteria; Bacillati; Actinomycetota; Actinomycetes; Micrococcales; Microbacteriaceae. The record is from RNAcentral.